This 398-nucleotide ribosomal RNA is filed under the name uncultured bacterium. RNAcentral's name for it is "partial 16S ribosomal RNA". It matches the Rfam family "Bacterial small subunit ribosomal RNA", at positions 523 to 918 of the family's 1533-position model. The record is from RNAcentral.
AUACGUAGGGUGCGAGCGUUGUCCGGAAUUACUGGGCGUAAAGAGCUCGUAGGUGGUUUGUCGCGUCGUCUGUGAAAUUCCGGGGCUUAACUCCGGGCGUGCAGGCGAUACGGGCAUAACUUGAGUACUGUAGGGGAGACUGGAAUUCCUGGUGUAGCGGUGAAAUGUGCAGAUAUCAGGAGGAACACCGGUGGCGAAGGCGGGUCUCUGGGCAGUAACUGACGCUGAGGGGCGAAAGCAUGGGUAGCGAACAGGAUUAGAUACCCUGGUAGUCCAUGCCGUAAACGGUGGGCGCUAGGUGUAGGGGUCUUCCACGACUUCUGUGCCGUAGCUAACGCAUUAAGCGCCCCGCCUGGGGAGUACGGCCGCAAGGCUAAAACUCAAAUGAAUUGGCGGGG